UCAGGGAAAGCCAGAGAAAGGUGGAGAUCAGCAGGAGAGCAGAGGCCGCUGAUGGGAACCAGGCCAGGGUUUAGGACUUCAACAUAUCUUUUGGGGGCAUAAUUCAACUCACUACAGUAGAAUUCUGGGUGGAGAGACAGAGACUGGGCACAGGCCCCACUUCUACAAUUUUGUGGCCCAGGGCACUGGCUUCUGGAAGGAAGAAAUAAGGAGUCUGAGGCUGGGAAAAAAGCAUGAAGAUGACCCAAUCCCACUGUUGGCAAGAAUGUUUUUCUAGAAUAUGAGUGGUGAUGGAGUGCAUAUUGACCCUUGUGGGGUUCAAAUUCAGCAC
Molecule: long non-coding RNA, 331 nt
Organism: Hipposideros armiger (great roundleaf bat)
Lineage: Eukaryota; Metazoa; Chordata; Mammalia; Chiroptera; Hipposideridae
Exons: 3
Source: RefSeq, a predicted model, not a curated record